Long non-coding RNA from Panicum hallii, 724 nucleotides. RefSeq lists it as uncharacterized. The record is from RefSeq and is a predicted model, not a curated record. NCBI's taxonomy places the organism in Eukaryota, Viridiplantae, Streptophyta, Magnoliopsida, Poales, Poaceae. The transcript has 3 exons.
CCGUGAGCGGCUCGAGCAGAGGGCUGCUACUGAGUUCUACCUGGCUGUUCUGAGGAUGAAGCGUGAUGUCCUCACUGAGAUGCGCAACAACCUUGUGGAGGGGACCGCAGAGCUGGAGAUGAACUUCCUCUCACAGCCCACCUAUCUUGGAUGCGGCGCCGUAGAGUACGUCAAGUUCGAGGACAUGCCCAUGCUGCCAGAAACCACAUAGGACCCGGAAGGAGGAGUUUUGACAACUUACACCAUGUUUGAAUGCCUUUCCUUGCUAGCAGCAAUGGCAGAGGACCCCUACAUUGGCGAAGUUAUGUGUUGGCUUUCUGAAGACCGUUUACUUUGCUAGCAGAAACAGUUUUUGUUUUCUAGGCAUUUUGCAGUUCGCCUAACUGAACAGCCUGCUAGUUUUCUAGGUGUCUGAUCGUUUUUCCUUGGAUUUUAGUGGUGGCUCUCCGUACUCUUUUUUCUGUUAGGCGUGCUGGUGUUCACCACGUGAUAUCAGCCCUCUAUGCUUUGAACUCCUAUGAAUUUGUUGCUUCAAGUAAUGAGAUUAGGGCUCUUGGCCCGUUGGGUUGGGGAAAAAAUUGUUUUGCAUAUAGUAUUUUAACUUUCUGAAUGCAUGGCCAUAUGUGUCAGUAUUGAAUAGCAUAGGUAGAAAUCGUGUACAGUGCCAUUGGCAUUAUUGUGCCAUGUGUCCUUCGUUUCACUUCCGCUUUUCGUUUAGCCAUUC